CAGUCGAACGAUGAUGCCCAGCUUGCUGGGUGGAUUAGUGGCGAACGGGUGAGUAACACGUGAGUAACCUGCCCCUGACUCUGGGAUAAGCGUUGGAAACGACGUCUAAUACUGGAUAUGACUGCCGGCCGCAUGGUCUGGUGGUGGAAAGAUUUUUUGGUUGGGGAUGGACUCGCGGCCUAUCAGCUUGUUGGUGAGGUAAUGGCUCACCAAGGCGACGACGGGUAGCCGGCCUGAGAGGGUGACCGGCCACACUGGGACUGAGACACGGCCCAGACUCCUACGGGAGGCAGCAGUGGGGAAUAUUGCACAAUGGGCGAAAGCCUGAUGCAGCAACGCCGCGUGAGGGAUGACGGCCUUCGGGUUGUAAACCUCUUUUAGUAGGGAAGAAGCGUAAGUGACGGUACCUGCAGAAAAAGCACCGGCUAACUACGUGCCAGCAGCCGCGGUAAUACGUAGGGUGCAAGCGUUGUCCGGAAUUAUUGGGCGUAAAGAGCUCGUAGGCGGUUUGUCGCGUCUGCUGUGAAAUCCCGAGGCUCAACCUCGGGCUUGCAGUGGGUACGGGCAGACUAGAGUGCGGUAGGGGAGAUUGGAAUUCCUGGUGUAGCGGUGGAAUGCGCAGAUAUCAGGAGGAACACCGAUGGCGAAGGCAGAUCUCUGGGCCGUAACUGACGCUGAGGAGCGAAAGCGUGGGGAGCGAACAGGAUUAGAUACCCUGGUAGUCCACGCCGUAAACGUUGGGCGCUAGAUGUAGGGACCUUUCCACGGUUUCUGUGUCGUAGCUAACGCAUUAAGCGCCCCGCCUGGGGAGUACGGCCGCAAGGCUAAAACUCAAAGGAAUUGACGGGGGCCCGCACAAGCGGCGGAGCAUGCGGAUUAAUUCGAUGCAACGCGAAGAACCUUACCAAGGCUUGACAUACACCGGAAACGGCCAGAGAUGGUUGCCCCCUUGUGGUCGGUGUACAGGUGGUGCAUGGUUGUCGUCAGCUCGUGUCGUGAGAUGUUGGGUUAAGUCCCGCAACGAGCGCAACCCUCGUUCUAUGUUGCCAGCGCGUUAUGGCGGGGACUCAUAGGAGACUGCCGGGGUCAACUCGGAGGAAGGUGGGGAUGACGUCAAAUCAUCAUGCCCCUUAUGUCUUGGGCUUCACGCAUGCUACAAUGGCCGGUACAAAGGGCUGCGAUACCGUAAGGUGGAGCGAAUCCCAAAAAGCCGGUCUCAGUUCGGAUUGAGGUCUGCAACUCGACCUCAUGAAGUCGGAGUCGCUAGUAAUCGCAGAUCAGCAACGCUGCGGUGAAUACGUUCCCGGGCCUUGUACACACCGCCCGUCAAGUCAUGAAAGUCGGUAACACCCGAAGCCGGUGGCCUAA
RNAcentral lists this ribosomal RNA (1368 nucleotides) under Curtobacterium sp. F12. Its description in RNAcentral is "bacterial SSU rRNA". It matches the Rfam family "Bacterial small subunit ribosomal RNA". Lineage: Bacteria; Bacillati; Actinomycetota; Actinomycetes; Micrococcales; Microbacteriaceae. The record is from RNAcentral.